GCGCGGGCACAGACGAGGCUCCGGCUCGGCCGGAAAGCGUCCGUGGUGCGCCUGCGCUACAGCCUUAGCCCCUGGGCCGAAUUGGACUCCAAGGUAGGAUUCGCGCUAGACCGCAGAAGGCUCUAGAAGCUAAAGGAAUGGGAAACGAAACUGCCGGAUGAGCAUUCUGGGAGAGAAAAGGAGGCUUCCUGACUAACUCUUGAGUUCCUUGUCCCAGCCUCCUGGAGUGAAGAAGAGGAGCCCCCGCGCAGCCAGAGUUCUGGGACAAACGAGUCACAGCUGAAGCCGUUGUGUGAAGGAGCAAAUUCCACCCUGUCUUCCACUAUGAACUGCAUGUAGCGAGUUUACUCCAUAGCAGGGGUUCUCAGUCCCAAGAGCCAUCUGGUGAAAUCUAUCCACCCUUUCUCAGUACGUUUUUAAAUGCAUAGAAUAAAAUGCAUGGCAUUACAAAGGAAA
Molecule: long non-coding RNA, 456 nt
Organism: Phascolarctos cinereus (koala)
Lineage: Eukaryota; Metazoa; Chordata; Mammalia; Diprotodontia; Phascolarctidae
Source: RefSeq, a predicted model, not a curated record